GCGUGUUGGGAUUCUCUUCGGGUGCUAACGGCUGAAAAGGAGCUCCUGCCGGCGCCUGAAAACACCGCAGCACGCGGGGGCGCAGGGCCUGGGCAGGGCGGCGGGUGCGCAGGGGGCCCCGCCUCGCCCGGCCACACUCCGGAGCCCGAGCCACGCCAGCCCGGCCGCCCGCGAGACCCGCACCCGCCCGCCGGAGCGCGCCGGGGGGCCACGGCCUGCAGGGGUGGAAGGGGCGGCGGCGGCGGGAGCUGCGGGCCACGCACAGCGGCGGCGGCGGGAGCGGCCAGGCACGCACGGCGACGGCGGCGGCGGAGGGAGCGGGAGCCCGGGCCACGCACGGCCGCAGCGGCGGGCGCGGGAACGGCGGGAGCUGUGGCGGCCGCGGAUGGCCCAGAGCUGAUCUAUGCGGCGCCUGGAGGGGCUGUGUCUGCGGCGGCGGCGGCGGCGGCGGGGCCCUGCCCGCGAGCGGAGCGGGGACAAGAUGAAGUACCAGAAAUACCUGACGGUGCUGCAGAUGGCCAUCGGCGUCACCCCCUCCAACCGCGGCAGCCUCCUGCCGCUCAAGAGGAAGCUGUGGUGAGGCGGCCGCGCGGACGCGGAGCCCGGGCCGGGCGGGGCGCGGGCCGGGGCGGGGGCCGGAGCGGGAGCGGGAGCGGGGGCCGGGGCGGGAGCGGGAGCGGGGGCCGGGGCGGGCGUGUGGGGGGCGAGGCCGCGGCUGCCGGGCCCGACGGGGCGGGGGGCGCACGGGGGGCGCACGGGGCGCAGCAGCCAUGGCCGAGCCCGGGGCCGAGCGCCGCCUUGUGCCGCGCGCCGGCGGGCGGGUUCCGCCGAGACCCUCGCUGUGCGUGCGGCGCGGAGCGGCCGGGACCCCGGCACCCGCACACGGGCGUCGGCCUCCCGCCUCUGUCUGUCGUUUCUGCUCCAUUCCGAAGGCUUCUGACUCAGAAUUUCCAGUCAGGCUCUCGCGGAGACGGCAGAGAAUUCAUUAGUAUCACUGUGUGCGUUGUCAGUAAUUUUUCAAAAAUUCAUCGGCUGCUCGGUGCACAGGAGAGGACGAGCAAGGCAAGGGGAGUAAGUUCCGAGAUUAUUGCAUUGUCAGGGACUGUGUUCUAA
Molecule: long non-coding RNA, 1113 nt
Organism: Callithrix jacchus (white-tufted-ear marmoset)
Lineage: Eukaryota; Metazoa; Chordata; Mammalia; Primates; Cebidae
Source: Ensembl